RNAcentral lists this transfer RNA (72 nucleotides) under Candidatus Terrybacteria bacterium RIFCSPHIGHO2_01_FULL_48_17. RNAcentral describes it as "tRNA-Phe". It matches the Rfam family "tRNA". Rfam says of the family: Transfer RNA (tRNA) molecules are approximately 80 nucleotides in length. Their secondary structure includes four short double-helical elements and three loops (D, anti-codon, and T loops). Further hydrogen bonds mediate the characteristic L-shaped molecular structure. tRNAs have two regions of fundamental functional importance: the anti-codon, which is responsible for specific mRNA codon recognition, and the 3' end, to which the tRNAs corresponding amino acid is attached (by aminoacyl-tRNA synthetases). tRNAs cope with the degeneracy of the genetic code in two manners: having more than one tRNA (with a specific anti-codon) for a particular amino acid; and 'wobble' base-pairing, i.e. permitting non-standard base-pairing at the 3rd anti-codon position. RNAcentral also lists the same sequence under 1 other name. The record is from RNAcentral. Lineage: Bacteria; Candidatus Terryibacteriota.
GCUGGGGUAGCUCAGUGGUAGAGCAUCUGCCUGAAGAGCAGAGGGUCGUCGGUUCGAUCCCGACCCCCAGCA